This is a long non-coding RNA of Oncorhynchus gorbuscha (pink salmon), 1787 nucleotides long. RefSeq lists it as uncharacterized. The record is from RefSeq and is a predicted model, not a curated record. Lineage: Eukaryota; Metazoa; Chordata; Actinopteri; Salmoniformes; Salmonidae. The transcript has 4 exons.
CGGGGAGGAAGGAAUAGGCUGUCCUUGUAAAUCAGAAUUUGUUCUUAACUGACUUGCCUAGUGAAAUAAAGGUUACACUAAGAGCAUAACAUUUCAGUACCCACAUUUUCUAAUUCUAGUCUAACCUAUAUCCAAAUGGAGAUUCAGUGAAAAUGAAAAUCUCAUUGAUUUAUCAAGACCAGUCGCCAUGCUUGUCUCAGAGCAGCGCGAAAUGAUGCUGAAAUCUCAUUGCUUCAAAUCCUAUUGCUUCAAUAUACUUUUUAAAUAAAUAAGACCUACACCACUUUUAACAUCACAUUACUCAACACUAGUGAGACUAAUUUUGCCUAUGGUAGGCCUACAGUAUAUCUAAAAAAAAUCAAUGAUGUGACUCUCUGACAAUAAUUACAUUUAGAGGAUUGGAGGAUUCUAAAUUAAUGUCUUAAGGAGCAUUUUCCGUUAAGACCCGUGACAAUAUCCAAGGGGCUUUUAUAUCAUUCUAAAUUAAUUAAUAAUAAUAAUAAUCGCUUUGUUUAAAAAGUAACGAUAUUUUGGAGAUUUCGUUUUCAUUUAACCUAGAGUGAGUGAGAAAAAGGCAAUUCUUGAACAUGGGGUGAGACAUUCUCACUCAUUGAAAAUAAGAAUAUGUUCUUAACUGACUUGCCUGGUUAAAUAAAGGUAAAAUAAAAAAUAAAAUAAAAAUUGUAAAUAAAGCCAGUUUGUUAUUUAGCAUAUUUAUUUCUGGAGAAACCUAACUUGGUUAUUUAGCAGACAUCACUUGCUUAUAUUCAGUCAACACAUAUCUUAAGAAUAUCAUGGAAAAUAAUUGAACAUGAUAUUCUUAAGAUGUUUGUUGACUGGCAUGGAUCAAAGCUGGCAAGACAUUGACUUGACAUGACAUGACGAAUCAACCGUGGCCCUUGAGCAAUUUGCUCAAAAUUGUUACAGAAGAAAAGGAAGAAUAUCAAGUAAGCCGAGUCCCAAGCAUCCGCUCAAACUCCAUGUGUGGGGGACAAUUUCUCUCGAGACAAGGCCCACAUUUGAUUUUUGAUGGACUCAUGGUUCGAGACUUAUUUGAGGAAGAAAUCAUCAAGAGAUAUGCUGGACCCUAUGUCAGAAAGGUGUUUCUGGGACCACAUCAUUUCUUUCAAGACAAUGGCCCAAAACACACUGCCGCCCAGGUUUGCAUUGCAAAUGGGGGCAUAAACUGAGUCAAGACGCCAGCAGAGUAUCCUGAUUUAAACCUGAUCUAACUUGUUUGGCAUCAACUGAAAACAUUCAUCCGUAACUCUGCCAAGCCGACAAGCAAAGAUGAACUGGUCAAGGCCAUCAAAGAUGUUUUGGCAAGAGAAAUUGACGAUACAACAAUGCAAAAAUACAUUGAUCAUCUCAGCAAGGUUUUACCUGUGGUCGUGGAGCUGGGUGGAAGUGCGACUAAAAUGUAGUUACAAUAAGCGUCCGCAUUUGAAUGUAUUUUUUUCUUGUUAUUUUAUUAACGAAAGCAUAAAGAUGGUUGAUGAAGAAAUACUGUACUGUUGUUUUGAGUUAGAAAAUGUAACACCCUAGAGUACUUAAGCAUCGAAUACAUUGCAAAUUGAGGGAUUUUCACAACAGUAGCCGCGUUAUAAAAAAUAUAUCAUCCUGCUAAUAGGAAACAUUUGCAUGAUGUGCUACACCUGCUACAGUACUACAGUACACUUGUGAAAAACAAGUGUUUCAAAACCUGCUGUCCAUCACUACUGUAAAUAAAAACAUCAUCUUGAUCACAUCUUGUUUACAUUCUUUAUUGUAACCACAAUGUCACAAAU